GCAUAUAUAUACACACAAAAGGGGUGGCGGCGGCUCGAUCUAUUCCGUCGUCGCUUCGUCCUCCGGCUGCCGAGACGAAGAGAUUCACCUCAUCCUCUCACCACGCAGCCAUGGCUUCUUCAUCCCCGCCAUCCCGCGCAGCCAUCUGAGGUCCCGCCUUCUUCCGUACUGUAGUUGUUCUCGACAGCUCAUACUACGAGGGGGUUAAAGACGGCUGGUCAUAUCUAGCACCUGAAGAAGCAACGGAAGUAUCGGCUAGUCUGAAGGAUGUCCGACACAAAUGCAACAUCGGCAUCGCAGGAAGAGAAUGUCCUUAAGAGAAAGUCAGAUGAUGUGGGAUGGGAGUACGGGAGUCUAGCUGAUGCUUCCAACAAGGAUAAAGUGAAGUGUAUGUUCUGUAACCAUGUGAGCACGGGAGGUGUUUAUCGUCACAAGCAGCAUGUGGCUCAUAUUGGUAAUGGUGUGGUCAAAUGCAAGAAAAGCUCUCAGGAAGCUAAAGCCA
This is a long non-coding RNA of Triticum dicoccoides, 502 nucleotides long. RefSeq lists it as uncharacterized. Lineage: Eukaryota; Viridiplantae; Streptophyta; Magnoliopsida; Poales; Poaceae. The transcript has 3 exons. The record is from RefSeq and is a predicted model, not a curated record.